GGUCGUGGUGCCGUGCGGCUGUCAGAACGGAGGCAUGUGCGUGACGGAUGUCAACUUUCCUGCGGGGAGCGGGAGGUACCUGUGUGUGUGUCCUGAGGGGAAGCAGGGCGAUCUCUGCGACAAGGACGUGGACGAGUGUGUGUCAGGUCCGUGCUCCUCUGGCAAGUGCAUCAACACAGACUGGGGGUACAGAUGCGAGUGUCCUGCUGGACUGAGAGGUAAGAAGGACGCAAAAUCCAUCACAGUUCAUGAACACAACAACCUGAGUGUGUGUAUGUGUGUGUGUGGCAGGACGGACGUGUCUGGAGGAUAUCAACGAGUGUGAAAGGAAGCCCUGUUUUCCAGGAGUCCAGUGCUUCAACAGCUUUGGCUCCUACGGCUGCGGCCCCUGCCCCAAAGGCAUGCUGGGAAACGGGACAUUUUGUUCUGCAGUCCUCAGGCCGGCCACCACCGUCUCUUCCACAUCUGCUCCUCGCACCACUGUCUACAAGACUCCAGAUGUUCUGCCGCAGCUGCCCAACGCCAGGACAGACACCUCCGGGAAAACCUCAAACAUCAGCUCAACUCAGACGAGGCCCGAUGAGGCGGGGAAGACAACAGACCUCCAAACUAAGACCACCACCUGGAGGAGGCCUCCAGGGGUCACAGCACCCCACCUGACCAGCGCAGCCUCAGACAGGACGACUAAAAUCAGCCCCACACGAGGAAAAGCUUGGUCUUUAACUCCACCCGCUGCAGGUAAGACGGCGUCUCAACACAUCGGGAGGCUUCGGGGUGUGUUGACACACUGACAGAUGCAGUCUGUGUCUUCCAGGAUCAGCCGACGUAUCAGCCACAUGUGCGAGCAGGCCCUGCUUCCCCGGCGUCCAGUGCAUCAACCGCAGGCCGCCACACGUGGGCUACGUCUGCGGACGCUGCCCGCCCGGGCUCUACGGGAACGGACGCGUCUGCAUGAAGAACUCCAAAGAGGCAUCCAAUCACCUCCCUCAGCAGCUUCAGCAGACGCUCAGUAAGACCAGCCGGGCCGCGCAGGCGAGCAGCAGCAUCAGCAGGAGCAGCAAGGUCUCCCAGCUCCACCUGCCCAACCUGCCCCCCCGCCACGCCAUCAAACACCUGUCCUCGUCCGUCACCAGAGCGAACCGCGACAACGUUCCCACGUUAGGCAGAGGAGGCGGGACCGGAAGGAGGGAGGCGGUCACUGCGCCGUUGAGGGAUGUUCCUGUCGCCGCCCUCCAUGUGACGGGGAGUACUCACACCACCCAUCAGGCUGUGAGGGAGUAUGUGGCGCCACACGUGGCGGUCUCUAAGAAGCACGAAGGAGCACCGACCAGAGCCACGCCAGUGACUCCACCCACUCCUCGCCUCUCCACUCAGUUUGGCAGAGUAACGCCACCCAAACAGACCUCCCCGCCCCAGCUCAACCACCUGACCUCCACCCAGGCCAAACCCUGGACCCCUUCACGCUCCGCCCUCCCGCUGACGGCGGCCCUCACCGCCCUGUCCUACUCGCUCUCCGAGUCCGAGUUCUCUGCAGACGGAGACGAGGCUGAACCUGGACCGGAGGUGCCACAGAUGGUGAUGACGCUCACAACGCCGGGAAAGACGGUCCACAGCUCGCCGCUGCAGCCGUGGGUCAGGAGGAGUAUAGCCGACACACUUGUGACGACCUGCGCCGACCGGCCAUGUUAUCCUGGCGUUCAGUGUGAACCAGCCAUGGAGGGAGGCUUUCGAUGCGGACGGUGUCCUGUGGGAUACACCGGGGACGGACGAGCAUGUCAGGGUACGCCACACACACACACACACCCGCAGGAACCCACAGGCCAGGUUCCUCCUCAGUGGAACAUACCC
Long non-coding RNA from Parambassis ranga (Indian glassy fish), 1848 nucleotides. The record is from Ensembl. NCBI's taxonomy places the organism in Eukaryota, Metazoa, Chordata, Actinopteri, Ambassidae.